GAGUUUGAUCCUGGCUCAGGAUGAACGCUGGCGAGAUGCUUUACACAUGCAAGUCGUACGAGAGUCUUUGACUCGAGUGGCGGACGGGUGAGUAACACGUAAGAAUUUGCCUUUAGGAGGGGGACAACAACUGGAAACGGUUGCUAACACCCCAUAUGCUUUCGAGUGAAAUGGAUUUUUCCGCCUAGAGAGAAGCUUGCGGCUGAUUAGCUUGUUGGUAGGGUAAUGGCUUACCAAGGCGACGAUCAGUAUCUGGUUUGAGAGGACGAUCAGACACACUGGAACUGAGACACGGUCCAGACUCCUACGGGAGGCAGCAGUGGGGAAUUUUCCGCAAUGGGCGAAAGCCUGACGGAGCAAUCUCGCGUGAGGGUUGACUGCCUAUGGGUUGUAAACCUCUUUUUUCAGGGAGGAAUAAAUGACGUGUACCUGAAGAAUAAGCAUCGGCUAACUCCGUGCCAGCAGCCGCGGUAAUACGGAGGAUGCAAGUGUUAUCCGGAAUCACUGGGCGUAAAGCGUCUGUAGGUGGUUUAAUAAGUCAACUGUUAAAUCUUGAGGCUCAACUUCAAAAUC
Molecule: ribosomal RNA, 573 nt
Filed under: uncultured bacterium
Lineage: Bacteria
Description: bacterial SSU rRNA
Rfam family: Bacterial small subunit ribosomal RNA
Source: RNAcentral